UUUCCGUAGGUGAACCUGCGGAAGGAUCAUUAACGAGUUAGGGUCUCUCCAGGCCCCACCUCCCAACCCUUUGUUUACCGAACCUCUGUUGCUUCGGCGGACCCGUCUCGCGGCCGCCGGGGGACCGCCGACAGGCGUCCUCUGGCCAGUGUCCGUCGAUAGCCAAACAUUUAAACCCUGAAUCAAUUGUGUCUUAUGCCUAAGUCUAUGAUUAAAUUCAAAAAGAAAAAACUUUCAACAACGGAUCUCUUGGUUCUGGCAUCGAUGAAGAACGCAGC
This 278-nucleotide unclassified non-coding RNA is filed under the name uncultured fungus. Its description in RNAcentral is "sequence contains ITS1, 5.8S rRNA gene". The stretch from base 230 to 278 matches the Rfam family "5.8S ribosomal RNA", at positions 1 to 49 of the family's 154-position model. Lineage: Eukaryota; Fungi. The record is from RNAcentral.